UAUCAAACUAUUGAAAAAGUGGUCUCCAA
RNAcentral lists this non-coding RNA (29 nucleotides) under Mus musculus (house mouse). The record is from RNAcentral. Lineage: Eukaryota; Metazoa; Chordata; Mammalia; Rodentia; Muridae.